Molecule: non-coding RNA, 45 nt
Filed under: Schistosoma curassoni
Lineage: Eukaryota; Metazoa; Platyhelminthes; Trematoda; Strigeidida; Schistosomatidae
Source: RNAcentral
AUCCAGCUGACGAAUCUAAAAUAGGACGAAACGCCUGUGUUGGAU